UUCAGCCUUCUGAGAAAUGAUGUUGAGCCUCCUUCACCACACUGUUUGCGUGGGUGGACCCCAAAGUGCCGUCCACCGCCAGAAGGAGCAGGCGGACAGCCACCACAGUGAGGCUCCCGUGUUCCAACAUCGAGUCUGACUCUCAUCCAGGAACCUCCCUCUCCACCUGCCCUGCUGGAAGCUGAGCCCCCAGUUUGUGGGCCAUUCACGGUCCUCUGGGGGGUCAAUGAGGCCGGUGGUUCCUGGUCCCCUGGCUGGUGCCGUCCCCCACAACACCCCUCCGCCUACCCUGGUCAUCGAUGGGACCGCCUAUGCUGUUAGGUCCCUCCUGAACUCCCGACGUCAUGGGGGUCGGCUCCAGUACCUGGUGAACUGGGAGGGGCCCAGAGGAGUGCUAUUGGGUCCAAGCGGCCAACAUCCUGGACCCUAACAUCGUCAGAGAUGUCCAUAUCUACCGCCAGGACCAGCCCACUCCUCGCCCUCGAGGCCAUCCUCCUGGCCGGGAUCGUCCUGUGGCUGGGCCAGACGUUAGGAGGUGGUUACUGUCACGCCUACUCCCGCCCCUUAGUAGCCUCAUUCAUCAGGCAGUAUUGGUUUUGUCACAUUCAUGCUUAUCCUGUCACAUUCAUGCUUAUCCUGUUUUGUUUAUCUGCCUUUUUCUUAUGAUUAAACUCACCUUCUGCACCUGC
This is a long non-coding RNA of Oncorhynchus kisutch (coho salmon), 689 nucleotides long. RefSeq lists it as uncharacterized. The record is from RefSeq and is a predicted model, not a curated record. The transcript is spliced from 2 exons. NCBI's taxonomy places the organism in Eukaryota, Metazoa, Chordata, Actinopteri, Salmoniformes, Salmonidae.